Molecule: ribosomal RNA, 274 nt
Filed under: uncultured bacterium
Lineage: Bacteria
Description: partial 16S ribosomal RNA
Rfam family: Bacterial small subunit ribosomal RNA
Source: RNAcentral
AUACGGAGGAUCCAAGCGUUAUCCGGAUUUAUUGGGUUUAAAGGGUGCGCAGGCGGCCUUAUAAGUCAGUGGUGAAAUCUCCCGGCUCAACCGGGAAACUGCCAUUGAUACUGUAAGGCUAGAAUACAGACGAGGUAGGCGGAAUGUAGCACGUAGCGGUGAAAUGCUUAGAUAUGCUACAGAACACCGAUCGCGAAGGCAGCUUACCAGACUGUAAUUGACGCUAAGGCACGAAAGCGUGGGGAGCGAACAGGAUUAGAAACCCUGGUAGUCC